AUGAUCAGUGAGGCUUCACGCUUCCUGGAGAGCAGUCAGAAUGAGGACAGGAGUCAUCAGAUCCUGAGCCUCACCCAGCUAAAGACACGAUGGCAGGGGACACAGCAGAGGGUCCAGCAGCAAGACAAAUGUCUGGAAGAGCUGAUAGGACAGUGGGAACUCUAUGAGUUCGGCUCGAGGAAACUUUCAAAGCUACUCGGACACAUCGAAGAACUUGUGCCACCAGCAGGACUGGCUCCGUGCAGCUUACAGCAACUCAAAUACUCUAUAAAAGACUUUGAGGUAAGAUUAUUCAGCAAAGAGAAUAUAACUCUUUUAGAUGCUGAUGUUGGACUAUAAAGUCGAAUCCAACAUCAUCAUUAAUAUCUUUCAUGUUAUCUAUCUCUCAGUGGACCGAGGAGCAACUACAGCUUCAUGAAGAACUGUACAGGCAGACUGUGGCAGCAGGAGGACAGAUCCUUCCGCUUUCAGAUGCGCAGACGCAGACAUGCCUUCAGACCGAACUGGAUGCGCUCAAGGAGAUGUGGGAGCAAAGCUGUGGCCUUGUGGGGAAAAGAAAGGCUCUUGCAGACACAAUAACUCAUGUAUGUGACCCAAUUCUUACAUUUCUGGUUAAUAUGUGAAAGUAUUCAUUGACAUAUACUACUGUAAAUGAUUCACGUUUACACUAUGUAGGGAAUAAACUGGUACAGUUUUCAAAAUAUUUCGAAUCUGCCAAUAUUUGGUGUUUUGUUCUGUUAGACGGAUGUUUUGAAUCGUAUUUCUUAGAUAUCGCAAGAAUGUCAAACAAGAAUUAAAAAAUAUGUAGUAUGAGUAUAAGAAGGUUUUGGAUCAGUCCGAUUAGUGCCGACACCCUUGUCUUAUUCAAUUCUUUAUUUGCAUGAACUGAGCAGAAUCACUGGUUAAUAUGGGGGUCUUUCUUAGUCAGCAUUGACCUACAUACCCUGCUGAGCGUUUCACUGAGAAAGUUCUUCAUUUUGAGGAUGAGAGAUCAGACGUAAUCUUUCCAUAAUCUAUAAAUCACACAGAACGAGGGCUUUCAAAACUGCGACUACUAAACCACUGUGCAGUUCAGUGUCUACGUGGGUCAUCUGUCAUUGUUCACACACGAUCCCACAAAGUCCUAAAGUAUAGGUAGAUGUGGGAACAAAGCUUGCAAAGUGCUGUUAUCUAUGUGCCUGGUAACUGUUUUAUAUUCCAUUCUACUUCAUUUUCAAACCUUAAUAAUGUAAGCUCACACAGGCUUCAGUUACAGUUACAGUCGUACCACAGCAUAAAAAGACUUUUGGUGACAAGAUGCAAAUGUAUAAUUCUAUGGAGCACCAUGGAGCACUUGGACCAUAUUUGAAGGAAUAAAUUUGACCAUUGCAAUUGUAAAUUAUUUUAAAGUAUUAACCAGAAAGCAGUGGGGCUCUGUGUCACCUUAAACUAGAGGCUGAUUGUCUGGACUGUUAGAUAUUAUAUAACACCAGUCACGCCCACUCAUAACCAGCUCUGAUUGGCUCUUCUGUUAGGAAUGAUGACAUCAUUGUUUUGAAGGGGGUUUAGAGAGUGAUAUGGUUGGAAGUGUGUUUUGUGUGCGUUUGCUCACAAUGGGAAAUCCCUUUCCCUGAUCUGAGAUAACACUGUAACAGCACCCAAAAUACAAGCACAUCAGUGGCAUUCAUAAUCAGAACUUAUGCAUUUAAAGGAAUGUUCCAGGAUCAAAAAUGACAUAACUGACAUUAUGCCACACAUAUUGUAGGUAGAGCUCAAGACUGUAUUCAGUGCUGGAAAUGCUGUCUUAACUGUAUGAUCUGGUGUUGUUUUUUACAGUGUAGAAUAGAUUGUUGAGGCAAACAUCUUCCACAGUAAUUAAGAGAUGCUGCUGUUUCUUGCAGAACUGGAUGCUCUGUGAAACUGGCCUGGCUGAGAGUGCUCUCAAACUGGAAGAGAUAAAAGCAAGACUGAAGAGUCCACUGCCACUGAAGAUAGAAAAUCUAGAAAUACACAUGCAGCUCAUCAAGGUAAAAUAUUUAUAUAGAAGUAAUAUAUUAAAAUAAGACAUUUUCAUUUAAAAAAAAAAUUUUUAUUUUUUUUUUGGGGGGGGGGGGGGGUAUAGAGGUUAGGAAACAUUGGCAUAGGAUAAAGAUAACUUUUUUUAAACAAUGUAUUAACCAAUUAAAUGUAAGCUAGUUUGUGAUGAUAUUGUGCAGAUGGUGAGAUGCUUUUGCUUAUUUUUUAUUUUUUUGCUUUUGCUUGCUUAAGUUAUUAAUGCAAAAGGGAAACAAACCAAAUACAAAACACUCCUAAAAUUAAUGUACACUACUGUUGAAAUAUUUGGGGUCGGUAAGAGUUUUAAUGUUUUUGAAAGAUGCUCACCAAAGCAUUUUUUUUUUUAUUGCAAAUACAUUAAAACAGUAAGAAUUUCAAUUUCAUUUAUUCCUGUCUUACUGAUUUCAGUAUUGUUUAUUUUGAUAACAGUCUUGCUUUCACAAAUUGCUGUGUAAUAUUUAAUGAAAAAAUAUAUUUAUAUUUAUAUAUUCAAUCAAUCAAUAAAAAAAUUAAAAGCAAUUCCCCUAGUAUCCUCAGACUUUUGGACCCUGCUCUAUGGUGUAAAAUAGCUAACAUUAAAUGUAUGCAUUGUUUACAUUUAAUUGGUGACUCCUCCAAACAUAGUUAAUUGUAGAAAACUGCUGCUUGAAUUGUGCCAGUUUUUAUUAUAUUACAUGAGUAAUUUGUCAUCAACUGGCAGAGACAGUUUAAUUCCCGAUUGGCUUUGAUGACUGUUUAACAAAGUGCUUUUAUCUGCCAAUGAGUUCUGCUGUAUCUUAAUGCACUCAAACUUUUACCAAGGUAAAGAAAAAAAAACACCUGUUGAUAUAAUCAUAUCACUUUAGAAAUGUGUUAAUAGCCCAUAACCCUGCUGAGAUUGGUUUUAUUUCUUGCUGAUUAAGCCCUGAUGAGGAACAGUCCUUCAAUAAAGGUGGGUGAAACUGACAAACAAAGGAAAUAAUAGUGUCUUUAAGAUGUUUGGCCUUUACCCCAACACCCCUUUCCAUGCUGUUAUGGGAAAGGGGAAAGGGGCCCUCCCCUCUCCGCCUCCUCCCCUCCCCCGUCCCGUCCAGCCAGGCCUUAAUCCUGAGCGUUAAUGACAGGGACACAGAGAGAGGGAGAGAGAGGACUAGGGUUAGCGUGCGGCAGAGAAGGGAAGUUUAAC
RNAcentral lists this long non-coding RNA (3199 nucleotides) under Carassius auratus (goldfish). RNAcentral describes it as "lncRNA (ENSCARG00000052140.1)". The record is from RNAcentral. Lineage: Eukaryota; Metazoa; Chordata; Actinopteri; Cypriniformes; Cyprinidae.